RNAcentral lists this ribosomal RNA (440 nucleotides) under uncultured bacterium. Its description in RNAcentral is "partial 16S ribosomal RNA". It matches the Rfam family "Bacterial small subunit ribosomal RNA", at positions 338 to 795 of the family's 1533-position model. The record is from RNAcentral.
CCUACGGGUGGCAGCAGUGGGGAAUAUUGCACAAUGGGGGAAACCCUGAUGCAGCGACGCCGCGGGAGUGAAGAAGUAUUUCGGUAUGUAAAGCACUGUCAGCAGGGAAGAAAAUGACGGUACCUGACCAAGAAGCCCAGGCUAAAUACGUGCCAGCAGCCGAGGUAAGACGUAGGGGGCAAGCGGUAUCCGGAUUUACUGGGUGUAAAGGGAGCGUAGACGGCAGGGCAAGGCUGGAGUGAAAGGCGGGGGCUCAACCCCCGGACUGCUCUGGAAACUGCCAGGCUGGAGUGCAGGAGAGGUAAGUGGAAUUCCUAGUCUAGCGUUGAAAUGCGUAGAUAUUAGGAGGAACACCAGUGGCGAAGGCGGCUUACUGGACUGUAACUGACGUUGAGGCUCGAAAGCGUGGGGAGCAAACAGGAUUAGAUACCCCGGUAGUC